UUAAUGGUUUAUUUUAGUGAU
This 21-nucleotide non-coding RNA is filed under the name Caenorhabditis elegans. Lineage: Eukaryota; Metazoa; Nematoda; Chromadorea; Rhabditida; Rhabditidae. The record is from RNAcentral.